UACGAGAUGUGCGAGCGUUGUUCGGAAUCACUGGGCAUAAAGGGUGCGUAGGCGGUGCGCCAAGUCGGGUGUGAAAUCCCUUCGCUUAACGAAGGAACUGCACUCGAUACUAGCGCGCUAGAGGGUAAAAGGGGCAAGCGGAAUUCUAGGUGUAGCGGUGGAAUGCGUAGAUAUCUGGGAGAACGCCAAGGGCGAAGGCAGCUUGCUGGGUUACUUCUGACGCUGAGGCACGAAAGCUAGGGGAGCAAACAGG
RNAcentral lists this ribosomal RNA (253 nucleotides) under uncultured bacterium. RNAcentral's name for it is "partial 16S ribosomal RNA". It matches the Rfam family "Bacterial small subunit ribosomal RNA", at positions 524 to 776 of the family's 1533-position model. The record is from RNAcentral.